GAUCCAGUGGCCCUGAGGGACCAACACAAUGUAAGGAGCUGGACCUUGUGCACUCUUGCUCCUCUCUUGCUGCCUCCUUAUCUAACUUCUGCUCAGUCACCUCUGCAUUCUACCUGUAGAAAAGUGACUCAACAUCAUUCCAGAAGUCCGGAAUUCUACAAGAAUCAUCUGAUGUCAAAAAUAACUGAGAACAAUCUGAACAGGAGAGGAAGAUAGAAGUAACUAUGAAAGAUUACAGAGAUUAGAAAGAGCCACUGUACUUGAAAGAAAGCAAUCAUCUCUGAGAGCUCUUCAAUUACAACGAAAUUGUCAGCUAGAUAGAAGGAAUUAAUACUAGUGUUUGAUACCACCUUACGAUGACUAUAGGAGAACAGUAUUCUAUUUAGCCAGCCACAACAUUUGAACAUCAUCUUUCGAAUCAAAGGCAAAAAGCAAAGAAAACCUCCAG
Homo sapiens (human) is the source of this 448-nucleotide long non-coding RNA. RefSeq lists it as uncharacterized. The record is from RefSeq and is a predicted model, not a curated record. The transcript is spliced from 5 exons. Lineage: Eukaryota; Metazoa; Chordata; Mammalia; Primates; Hominidae.